CUCAGACCCCCUCCAGCCUGACUUUGAGUGUCUCCAGAGAUUGGGCACCCACCACCUCUCUGGGCAACCUGUGCCAUGCCUCAUCAUCCUUAGUGUAAAAAACUUCUUAUAUCCUGUCUCUAUCUCCCCUCUUAUACUUUGAAACCACUUCCCCCCAUUCCUAACACAACAGAUCCUGCUGAAGAGUUUGUAUGUACCCUUACAGCCCCCCUUAACAAGCCCCCCUUGUGAUCUGUCAUGAAGAUGAGAAGCAGAAAUAGGAAGAACUCUGUGCUCCCUGCAAAGGUUUUCUCUGCUUCCAGGUUUAGCGAUGCACCCUGACCAUUUUCCCACCUUGGGUGUGACCUGGGUGAGAACUAGGUUCACCUGCUCUCUUUAGGCCCCUGCUUUCUAAUGGGAGCUGAUGCAGAAAGGUUCAGCUUUAUGCUCCUAUUCCAGAGUACAGAUUACAAUAUCAUAGUCCAGAAUGAUGGUGAUAUAAAUAUAUUGAUAUUAACAUAUUAUCAUAGAAUCAGAUAUUGGCUUGGGCAGGAAGGGACCUCAGAGGUCAAGCAGUUCCAGCCCUUGUGCAAUGGUCAGGUUGCCAACCACUAAAUGAGGCACCACAUCAGGCAGACCAGGACUCCAUCAACCUGGCAUUAAGCACCUCCAGGGGUGAGGCAUCCACAAUUCACUGAGCAGCCUGUGCCAGGGCCUCACCACCAUCUCAGUGAAAAUUUUCCCCCAACAUCCAAUCUUAAUGUCUCCUCUUUUAGCAUAAAACCAUUCCCCCUUGUCCUAUCACUAUCAGACCAUGUAAAAAGUUGAUUUCCCUCCUGCAAUAUUGCAAAUUAUGCAAUACAGAAAAGAACAAAUGGAUAGAUGUUACAAACAUAAUUAAAAUGUGUCCACCUCUUUGUCUCACCCUUCUAGUUACUCUCAAAACUGUUGUCAAAUAAUUAUCUACCCAGUUUCUAAUCCUGCUAACUGUUGUCAUAGCAUCCGAGUGUCUCCUAAGAUUAAAAAAAAAAAAAAAAGAAAAAAACCCACAAAAUUAAUUCCAAUCUGUGCAGAUAAAAACAAAGCAUAACAUUAGAAAGAUUCUACUGCAGGAAAGCCCAGGGAAAGAUGAGCUGUUGAUGAAUGCAGAUUUUUGGUAGGGUGGUAACAUACUGUACAAAGAUCUGUGGGUGCUCAAGGCCAAGUUGGAUGGGACCAUGGGCAGCCUGAGCUGGUGGGGGCAACCAGGCCAUGGUAGGGGGUUGGGGCUGGAUGGGCUUUAAGUUCCCUUACAACUCUAGACAUUCUAUGAUUCUGUUAUUCUAUAAUACUAUUUUAUACAAGUUAUCAGGACUCUAAGUUUUCCCUGAAAGUCAAAGGGAGAGUAAGGAUGCACAUUAAGACAUCAUUUUACUAAAAAGAAACCAGAAAAAAAAAAUCCUAGACACCUAAUAAAUACCUCAUAACUGAGAUCUUAGAAUAAAAUUAAAUAAAAUAUAGUUUUUGGUCUAAAAUCCAUUUUUCCUCUUGAUACACCAGUUUGUGACUCUAUUCUAUUCAUUUAGUUGUUUUCAGUAUCUGUUGUUUACUUCCUUUAUUUUUCACUCUGAUGAAAUAUUUCAGGGCAUGAAAAAGCUAUUAAGGCAAUAGUUGGUGUACCUUCCUUCAUUUCCAGCAUUCUUGAGUAAUGUUCAUUCGUAUUUAUCACUUAAGUAUGUCAGCGUGACCGAAGUACUAGGAAAAAAGGGAGGAAAGAUGAUAAAUAACUUAGAAAAUCCUGGACAUCUGCAGAUUUCACAUCACAUGGGCUGGUGUCUAUUUACAUGUACAACGAUGAAAGAAGUCCAUUUCAUAUUUUGGAAAAAAAAUGAAACAUUCAGAACUGGACGUGACAUGUCAGCUGUGGACACAGAGGGCACAUUAAGACAAAGGUGCUGAAGAUACAGAUGCCAUCGGACUGCUAAGGAAGCCUGGAGCAGAAGGAGAAGCAAACCACAUCUGCCAGAACUGUUGGGAAAUUUCUUUCACUUUAAGGCAUGAGUUUGUAAUCACUUUUCUAUACAGUUCCCAGUGAUGAAGCGUAUUACCCUGCCUCCCUCCCAGAUUGUGUGUUAUGUCUCUUUGGACUGUGCAUCUGCACACCUCCCAGCACAACCAGUUCUGUUUGCACUGCAUAUUAAAUUAUGUGUUGGAAUUGAUUAUGUAAUGCCUGAAGCAAAGGUUUUCAGAUUGUUAUAUUAAAUUUAACAUAUAGAAUAACCUGGAACAAAAAUCUUACUUGUGACCUUCUGUAACUGUGUUUUUCCUAUUCUGAGAGGAGAAAAUGGAGCAUAGGAAGUGCUUCACACCAUCUCUCAGCAAGCUGCUCCUGCACUUAUUUGCCUUUUACCUGCUGUCUUGCUGACAAAGGAGUUUGUGAGACACAUUUAAUUCACAUGUAAUGAAAGCCUGAAUAGCUGUGGUUGCAAGGAAAUUUUUAAAAGUCUGUAAAUACCAAGUGUGGUUCCCAUCACGCAUAAAAGAAAAUAAGCUGAACUCUAUCUGGAAAAUAUCUUUCUCGCUGUGCUUGAAAAAGGAACAUCAUGUCACAGUGAUUCACUGCUACAUGCUGAUUUUGAGUGAAUGCAUUCAGAGUACAGAUGUAAAACCAUAAUAUCUAUUUACCAUAGCACUGACAAGGCGAGGGGCAGACUGUGAUGUGCAAUGCAGUGCCCCAGGAACGACUGAGGGUGUUUCUAUUCACAUACUGACUGCAUGCCUUCCACUGUACUUAGUGUGGGGCCCAGCGUGUCCCCCAGCUAUUUCAUCACUCUGCCAUUACUAAGUUCUCCCAGCCAACAAACUCGUUUUUUUCCUACUCCUUGUGAUACAAUACGAACUUUCCUUGUUUGGUUUAUGUUCCAAGAGACAAAUGAUAGGGAAAACAUUUCUGAAACUCUUUCAUUUGUCAAUGACAAAUGCAGAGAUUUAUAUGAAACACUCACAAAAUGGAAAUACUGACUCUGAUCCUCCAGUUCAGACAAAAAGUGCUACCUAGGUGCAACGUGCCAUUAUUAUUAUGAAUCAACAGUGCACGUCACAGGCAUAACAACGUAAUUUUUAUUGCUGGUAACAUUUGAAUUAAUCAUAUUUUCCAGUGAGGACUCUUCAGUUAACAAUUAAAUUCUAUGGGUGAGAUUUCAAGAACUGCCUAAGUAAAUUUGGUGCCAGCUGACAUGGAAAAUGUCUGAGAAAUGGGUGCCCAGUUUCUAAAAUGUCUUUUGAAGGAAGAUUCAUCUUGCAUUAAUUGUAAGUGGGGAGGAAACAAUUCAAUAUAGUAUCACAAGAACAUGAGAAAUAAAAUGGCACGUUGAGCAACUUUAAAGGAGUUCUGUGUCACUGAAGGACAAAUUACUGCAGAAUCUUGCUAUUUACUGGCAUUAUACUUUACUUCGCCAGGAGACAGCAAAAAUUAAAAAGACGUCUUGCAGUGUCUCACAUCCUUCCUCUUAGUUCUCCAGAGCCCUCAGUGACAAACUACAUUUAACCACAAUCCUAUCUUCAGCAUUAUUUAACAUCUGUAGAUUGUAAAGGGAAGAGAAUCAUAGAAUCGUUUGAAUAGAAAGCAACUCUUAAGGCCACCUCGUCCAACUCCCCUGCAUUAAACAGGGACACCUACAGCUCCAUCAGGUGCUCAGAGGCCCCGUCCAGC
Long non-coding RNA from Phasianus colchicus (ring-necked pheasant), 3670 nucleotides. RefSeq lists it as uncharacterized. The record is from RefSeq and is a predicted model, not a curated record. Lineage: Eukaryota; Metazoa; Chordata; Aves; Galliformes; Phasianidae.